This 76-nucleotide transfer RNA is filed under the name Dallia pectoralis (Alaska blackfish). Its description in RNAcentral is "tRNA-Thr". It matches the Rfam family "tRNA". Rfam says of the family: Transfer RNA (tRNA) molecules are approximately 80 nucleotides in length. Their secondary structure includes four short double-helical elements and three loops (D, anti-codon, and T loops). The record is from RNAcentral. Lineage: Eukaryota; Metazoa; Chordata; Actinopteri; Esociformes; Umbridae.
GGAGCAGUUGGUAGCUCAGUGGUACAGUGCAUGCUUUGUGUUUAUGAAGUUCUGGGUUCAAAACCCAGCUGCUCCC